This 322-nucleotide ribosomal RNA is filed under the name uncultured Pseudomonadota bacterium. Its description in RNAcentral is "bacterial SSU rRNA". It matches the Rfam family "Bacterial small subunit ribosomal RNA", at positions 30 to 351 of the family's 1533-position model. Lineage: Bacteria; Pseudomonadati; Pseudomonadota. The record is from RNAcentral.
AUUGAACGCUGGCGGCAUGCCUUACACAUGCAAGUCGAACGGCAGCGCGGACUUCGGUCUGGCGGCGAGUGGCGAACGGGUGAGUAAUGCAUCGGAACGUGCCUUUCAGGUGGGGGAUAACGUAGCGAAAGUUACGCUAAUACCGCAUAUUCUGUGAGCAGGAAAGCAGGGGAUCGCAAGACCUUGCGCUGAUGGAGCGGCCGAUAUCUGAUUAGCUAGUUGGUGAGGUAAAGGCUCACCAAGGCGACGAUCAGUAGCUGGUCUGAGAGGACGACCAGCCACACUGGAACUGAGACACGGUCCAGACUCCUACGGGUGGCAG